GAUGAACGCUGGCGGCGUGCUUAACACAUGCCAGUCGAACGGAAAGGCUCCUGCUUGCAGGGGUACUCGAGUGGCGAACGGGUGAGUAACACGUGGGUGAUCUGCCCUGCACUUCGGGAUAAGCCUGGGAAACUGGGUCUAAUACCGGAUAGGACGAUGGUUUGGAUGCCAUUGUGGAAAGUUUUUCGGUGUGGGAUGAGCUCGCGGCCUAUCAGCUUGUUGGUGGGGUAAUGGCCUACCAAGGCGUCGACGGGUAGCCGGCCUGAGAGGGUGUACGGCCACAUUGGGACUGAGAUACGGCCCAGACUCCUACGGGAGGCAGCAGUGGGGAAUAUUGCACAAUGGGCGCAAGCCUGAUGCAGCGACGCCGCGUGGGGGAUGACGGCCUUCGGGUCGUAAACUCCUUUCGCUAGGGACGAAGCGUUUUGUGACGGUACCUGGAGAAGAAGCACCGGCUAACUACGUG
This 466-nucleotide ribosomal RNA is filed under the name uncultured bacterium. RNAcentral's name for it is "partial 16S ribosomal RNA". It matches the Rfam family "Bacterial small subunit ribosomal RNA", at positions 28 to 507 of the family's 1533-position model. The record is from RNAcentral.